Molecule: non-coding RNA, 30 nt
Filed under: Mus musculus (house mouse)
Lineage: Eukaryota; Metazoa; Chordata; Mammalia; Rodentia; Muridae
Source: RNAcentral
UCUAGAAAUGAAGAUGGUGGGUCCUACAGG